GACGAACGCUGGCGGCGUGCUUAACACAUGCAAGUCGAACGGAAAGGCCCUGCUUUUGUGGGGUGCUCGAGUGGCGAACGGGUGAGUAACACGUGAGUAACCUGCCCUUGACUUUGGGAUAACUUCAGGAAACUGGGGCUAAUACCGGAUAGGAGCUCCUGCUGCAUGGUGGGGGUUGGAAAGUUUCGGCGGUUGGGGAUGGACUCGCGGCUUAUCAGCUUGUUGGUGGGGUAGUGGCUUACUAAGGCUUUGACGGGUAGCCGGCCUGAGAGGGUGACCGGCCACAUUGGGACUGAGAUACGGCCCAGACUCCUACGGGAGGCAGCAGUGGGGAAUAUUGCACAAUGGGCGGAAGCCUGAUGCAGCAACGCCGCGUGCGGGAUGACGGCCUUCGGGUUGUAAACCGCUUUCGCCUGUGACGAAGCGUGAGUGACGGUAAUGGGGAAAGAAGCACCGGCUAACUACGU
RNAcentral lists this ribosomal RNA (467 nucleotides) under uncultured bacterium. RNAcentral describes it as "partial 16S ribosomal RNA". It matches the Rfam family "Bacterial small subunit ribosomal RNA", at positions 28 to 506 of the family's 1533-position model. The record is from RNAcentral.